Molecule: ribosomal RNA, 440 nt
Filed under: uncultured bacterium
Lineage: Bacteria
Description: bacterial SSU rRNA
Rfam family: Bacterial small subunit ribosomal RNA
Source: RNAcentral
GAUGAACGCUGGCGACGUGCUUAACACAUGCAAGUCGAACGGAGUUAUAGUUGUAGCAAUACAGGUAUAGCUUAGUGGCGGACGGGUGAGUAACACGUAGGUAACCUACCCUUAGGCGGGGGACAACUCAGGGAAACUUGAGCUAAUACCGCAUAAAUCCACGGGCUGGGAUGCUUGUGGGAAAAGUGGCAACACACCUAAGGACGGGCCUGCGGCCUAUCAGGUAGUUGGUGGGGUAAGAGCCCACCAAGCCGAAGACGGGUAGCCGGGCUGAGAGGUUGGACGGCCACACUGGAACUGAGACACGGUCCAGACUCCUACGGGAGGCAGCAGUGGGGAAUCUUGCGCAAUGGGGGAAACCCUGACGCAGCGACGCCGCGUGGAGGAUGAAGGUCUUCGGGUUGUAAACUCCUUUUCUUGGGGAAAAUGAUGAUGUACUC